UGUGGGGCUAGCCUGGGCUGCUAGGCGUAGCCUGUAACCUGAAAUCGUCUAUAUGCAGGAGGCGAAUUCCCCCUAAGAGGUAAUCGGGGUGAUAUAGGCCUACUAAAUCCAACUGAGAAGUUCAGCCCUAAGGGGUGAUAUAUCCUAUGAAUCCUUCAGGUCCGAAAGGAAGCAGAGGUAAGUAGGGUAUAUUACGCUCUUAGGUCAACUGAAUGGAGGAGGAUUUGGUAGUAUACCUGUAUUGUCCCGGUUAUCAAUUAGGGGGUGCCCCACA
RNAcentral lists this signal recognition particle RNA (274 nucleotides) under Candidatus Aenigmarchaeota archaeon ex4484_56. RNAcentral describes it as "signal recognition particle sRNA". It matches the Rfam family "Archaeal signal recognition particle RNA". Lineage: Archaea; Nanobdellati; Candidatus Aenigmatarchaeota. The record is from RNAcentral.